GCAUGCUUAGGCAACACAUAUACUAAAAUUGGAACAACACAGAGAAAAUUAGCAGGGCCCCUGUAUAAGGAUGAUAUGCAAGUUCAUGAAGCCUUCCAUAUUAAA
Non-coding RNA from Mus musculus (house mouse), 105 nucleotides. Lineage: Eukaryota; Metazoa; Chordata; Mammalia; Rodentia; Muridae. The record is from Rfam.